AAAGCACGACAUUGCUCACAUUGCUUCCAGUGUUUUUAAGCCAGCUCGGGUGCUGGCUUUUUUUU
Molecule: non-coding RNA, 65 nt
Filed under: Yersinia bercovieri
Lineage: Bacteria; Pseudomonadati; Pseudomonadota; Gammaproteobacteria; Enterobacterales; Yersiniaceae
Source: RNAcentral